AGGACGAACGCUGGCGGCGUGCCUAAUACAUGCAAGUAGAACGCUGAAGGAGGAGCUCGCUCUUCUGGAUAAGUUGCGAACGGGUGAGUAACGCGUAGGUAACCUGCCUGGUAGCGGGGGAUAACUAUUGGAAACGAUAGCUAAUACCGCAUAAGAGUAGAUGUUGCAUGGCAUUUGCUUAAAAGGUGCAAUUGCAUCACGUACCAGAUGAACCUGCGUUGUAUUAGCUA
This 230-nucleotide ribosomal RNA is filed under the name uncultured soil bacterium. Its description in RNAcentral is "partial 16S ribosomal RNA". It matches the Rfam family "Bacterial small subunit ribosomal RNA", at positions 26 to 247 of the family's 1533-position model. The record is from RNAcentral.